AUACGGAAGGCAGCAGUAAGGAAUAUUGGUCAAUGGGCGGGAGCCUGAACCAGCCAUGCCGCGUGCAGGAAGACGGCCUUAUGGGUUGUAAACUGCUUUUAUCGGGGAAUAAAACUUUCUACGAGUAGAGAGCUGAAGGUACCCGAAGAAUAAGCAUCGGCUAACUCCGUGCCAGCAGCCGCGGUAAUACGGAGGAUGCAAGCGUUAUCCGGAUUCAUUGGGUUUAAAGGGUGCGCAGGCGGAUUGGUAAGUCAGUGGUGAAAUUCUAGUGCUUAACAUUAGACCUGCCAUUGAUACAGUCCGUCUAGAGUAUAGUUGGAGUGGGCGGAAUGUGUCAUGUAGCGGUGAAAUGCUUAGAUAUGACACAGAACACCGAUCGCGAAGGCAGCUCACUAAGCUAAAACUGACGCUCAUGCACGAAAGCGUGGGGAUCAAACAGGAUUAGAUACCCGUGUAGUCUG
RNAcentral lists this ribosomal RNA (461 nucleotides) under uncultured bacterium. RNAcentral describes it as "bacterial SSU rRNA". It matches the Rfam family "Bacterial small subunit ribosomal RNA", at positions 339 to 797 of the family's 1533-position model. The record is from RNAcentral.